RNAcentral lists this ribosomal RNA (440 nucleotides) under uncultured bacterium. RNAcentral describes it as "partial 16S ribosomal RNA". It matches the Rfam family "Bacterial small subunit ribosomal RNA", at positions 338 to 795 of the family's 1533-position model. The record is from RNAcentral.
CCUACGGGUGGCAGCAGUGGGGAAUAUUGCACAAUGGGGGAAACCCUGAUGCAGCAACGCCGCGUGAGUGAAGAAGUCAUUCGUGAUGUAAAGCUCUAUCAGCAGGGAAGAAAAUGACGGUACCUGACUAAGAAGCCCCGGCUAACUACGUGCCAGCAGCCGCGGUAAUACGGAGGGGGCAAGCGUUAUCCGGAUUUACUGGGUGUAAAGGGAGCGUAGACGGCGACGCAAGUCUGAAGUGAAAGGCCAGUGCUCAACACUGGAACUGCUUUGGAAACUGUGUAGCUAGAGUGCAGGAGAGGUAUGUGGAAUUCCUGGUGUAGCGGUGAAAUGCGUAGAUAUUAGGAGGAACACCGGUGGCGAAGGCGGCUUACUGGACUGCAACUGACGCUGAAGCACGAAAGCGUGGGUAUCGAACAGGAUUAGAUACCCCAGUAGUC